GUAGACAGCUCUUAUCCCUCGUUCCGGACAUCAAACGAGCAGGACAUUGGUUACAAGACCUGAGAUUGCCAUCUGGAAAUUUCACUUCUCAAAAUAGUAUUUGGUUUAGAUGUUUCUCGCCUUAUAUGAGAAAUGGAAUCCUGAGAAAAAUUUUAAACUUAUAUUUCGAAAUUCUAUCUGAAAAAAAAAAUCAUCCUAGAAUAAACUUUUAGUAACAGAGAUGAAAGAAAAGUGAGGUUACAAAGAAGUCUUUUGAAGUCUAUCAGUGAAAAGAAAUUUCCAUAAUUGCCCUUUAUAUCCAGAACGAUUCAUCCCAUUCCGAACAGAAUUAACUAAAUCUUGGUAAUAUCUAAGUAAUUACGAAUUAUCCAAAAUGGGAAAUAUCCAAGAGAAGGAAAUCGAUCUUCUGGAAGCAUACAUAGAACUGCAAGACAGUGCACUUAAGGGUAAUUUAUCUCAAUGUGAGGAAAUGUUCAGAAUGAUCUUGAGAGAAAACAAUACUUCAUCAAAGACCGAUGACCUCAAUUAUACAGUUUAUUCUAAGUGUCUUAAUAAUACUAUUCCGAGUGGAUUGUUCAACCAGCCGUAUAUUCUACCUUGGUAUCAGCAACUGUCGUGGACUUUAGUGUUUGCUUUCAUGAUACUGGUGGCAAUUGUGGGAAAUCUGAUCGUCAUAUGGAUAAUAGUAGCCCAUCGUCGAAUGAGAACUGUUACCAAUCUAUUCCUUUUAAAUUUAGCUAUUGCUGAUUUCUUACUGGCAGGUGGAAAUGCUGCCUUUAAUUUUGUCUUCAUGCUAAACAGCCACUGGCCCUUUGGGGGUACAUUUUGUGUGAUAAGCAAUUUUUUAGCCAAUUUGACAGUGUCAACUUCUGUUUUCACGAUUUUGGCUAUGAGCUUGGACAGAUUUGUGGCCGUCACUCGUCCAUUACGCCAAAGAAUGACUAAAACUUUUGCCUGCUCUAUCAUCUUUUUAGUGUGGUCUCUUAGCACUAUUGUCUCUAUUCCUCCCUUAUUGUAUGCAACCACAAUUACGUAUAAGUAUCCUGACCAAGGACAUCGAACUCUUUGUUAUUUAGUGUGGCCGGACGGAGAACCUGGAACAUCGUAUGCCGAUCACGUGUACAACAUCGUAUUCCUGAUCGUAACAUACGUUAUUCCAAUGGGUUGCAUGGCUGUCACGUAUACUUGGGUAGGCUGCGUUCUGUGGGGAAGUAAAGUCAUUGGUGAAAAUACAGAUCGUCAGAAUGAAGUUGUCAAAUCAAAGCAAAGGGUAGUUCAUAUGUUGAUUGCCAUAAUGCUACUUUUCGCCAUUUGUUGGCUACCUUAUCACAUCUACUUUUUGUAUACCUAUUACUACAGAGACGUUUUGCAGACCCAUUUCAUUCAACAUGUAUAUCUAGCUAUCUACUGGCUCGCAAUGUCGAAUUCCUGCUACAAUCCCAUUGUCUACUACAUUAUGAAUGCAAGAUUUCGAAGUUACUUUCAAGAAGUCAUCUGUCUGCGAGGGCGAUCUCUGAAGCCUUCACACACAGCAGCUCAGACACCUAAAUCAGCACCAUUAAUGGCAAGAAGUUCCCUCUUGGUGUCAAACAAUACACGCUCCUGCAAGCUGAGCAUCCAGCGUGGAAGAAAACUGUCUCAACCAGUGAAUUCUGCUUUAUAAAUGGCAUAGUAGAGUCUGCAUUGAUGAACAUGUAAAGAAAGGCUUAUAUCGCAGAAACGAAAGAAUGCUUUGUUUGUUUGAAACACAUUUGCUAUCCGUUUAAUUUUCUCUCAUAAAUCUAAAUUUCUGGUUUAACACAAGGGAUACUUUGCAGUGAAAAUGCCAAGUCUCACAGUAUUUUGAAAAUUUGCUUUUGAUAUUAUGGAAUUUAAGUAAUCUGUAAUUGUGUAUUUCUGUAAGUAUUUGAAGGGCACUUGCAUAUUAGCAUAUCCACCUCGGAGCAGACUGGUGACUUUAUACAGAAGAAAAGAAACGAUGACCUAUAAUUAAAAAAAAAAAAAAAAAAAAAAAAAAAAAACUUAAUUUAUACAUAUUUAACAUUGUAUUCAGUAAUUUGUCUGAUAAAUCAAUUUUUAAACCUAAUCACAAGCGAGCUUUACUUUACAAGCGAGCUUUUAUUCCACUGGAAAUUUUCUGACGAUCACUUCAAGAACAGAAUUUAAGUAACUGUCCUUUUAGUGACUGUGAAGGAACCAGGUACAUUCCCAUAAGUAUUUUAUCCCGGUUUCUUCCAUUAUAGGCAAAUUUCACAAGCACAUGUUUUAAAACUGAGUUUAAGACAAAAACUAUAUGGUCUAUACGAUCUGAUGGAUUUUGUAGUGCUGUAAAAAGAACGCAUAUGAAAAUGGCGACGAUGGAUUUUAAAAUAAAGAAUAAGCUGCUAAUGUGUAUCGCAUUCUGAAAAUUUGGAGACUUUUAUAAGGAUGAUUGCCACUACACGUAAACAACGUCUAAAGUACAGAACAAAGAACACCAUUUAUAUUUUUAGCUGUAUCGAAGAGGGACAUCUGAAGCACUUUCGCGGGUGAAAAGCGAGAAGGGACAAAAGUCGAAACUCUGAAAACUAAAUAUGAAUGUUAAAGUGAUUAAAAUUAUUCAAAAGAGCAAUUCUGAGAUUCGGCAGAGGCGUUUAAUCUUUGGAUAUAACAAUGGUCCUGAUCCACUUCUCUUCAAUGGAAACCUCAGUUAUGAAAUUUAUGUAACCAGAUUACCAGUUUUUUAAAUUGCCUCUCUUCCGUCUUCCGUUCUGAAUCCUGAUGGACAGUCAACUUGCAUUCGCUUGAUCCAGUUUACUUCAAUGGAAACCUCAGUUAUGAAAUUUAUGGAACCAGAUUACCAGUUUUUUAAAUUGCCUCUCUUCCGUUCUGAAUCCUGAUGGACAGUCAACGGUAUCCACUGGCCUGAAUUAGCUGUUACAUGUUCCUGCCAGGAGACCUCGGUCUUGGAACCUCAGUUGGGUGAUAUUAAAUUUUUCUUGUUAUUUCAUUAAAUUCAGAUAUUUCUUAAUCUUAAAAUCUGCAAGAUCUCGCGCUGUUACAGGUGUUACAGGUGUUGUUGUAAAGUUAAUUGUUAAAAAAAAAAAAAAAAAAAAAAAAAAAAAAAAAAA
This 3110-nucleotide unclassified non-coding RNA is filed under the name Stegodyphus dumicola. RNAcentral's name for it is "tachykinin-like peptides receptor 86C, transcript variant X2". Lineage: Eukaryota; Metazoa; Arthropoda; Arachnida; Araneae; Eresidae. The record is from RNAcentral.